AUUGAACGCUGGCGGCAUGCCUUACACAUGCAAGUCGAACGGUAACGGGCCUUCGGGUGUCGACGAGUGGCGAACGGGCGAGUAAUACAUCGGAACGUGCCCGAUCGUGGGGGGUAACGAGGCGAAAGCUUUGCUAAUCCCGCAUACGAUCUACGGAUGAAAGCCGGGGACCGCAAGGCCUUGCGCGGACGGAGCGGCAGAUGGCAGAUUAGGUAGCUGGUGGGAUAAAUGCUUACCAAGGCGACGAUCUGUAGCUGGUCUGAGAGGAUGAUCAGCCACACUGGGACGAAGACACGGCCCAGACGCCUACGGAAGGCAGCAGUGGGGAAUUGUGGACAAGGGGCGCAAGCCUGAGCCAGCCAUGCCGCGUGCAGGAUGAAGGCCUUCGGGUUGUAAACGGCUUUUGUACGGAACGAAAAGCCUUCUUUUAAUACAGGGGGGUCAUGACGGUACCGGAAGAAUAAGCACCGGCUAACUACGUG
This 482-nucleotide ribosomal RNA is filed under the name uncultured bacterium. RNAcentral's name for it is "partial 16S ribosomal RNA". It matches the Rfam family "Bacterial small subunit ribosomal RNA", at positions 29 to 507 of the family's 1533-position model. The record is from RNAcentral.